CUGUGUUUUACAGGCAGUGGUACAGUUAUCAUAUCAGGACCAAAACCUCCCGCCCCUCCUGACAAAAACCAGCAAAUGCCUCAAAAUUAAAUAAAUAAAUGUCCAGCAGUGCAGGAUUUAACUAUGGUAAAUAACAUUUUUGCCUCAGUAGAACUGUGUGUCUCUGAGUGUUUUUAUUGAUGUUUUUGUUUGUGAUGGCUCCAAAACUAAAGCGUGAACUCCAGAUUCUCUCGGUUCGCUGACUGAUUGUACAGUAAAUCAUCUGAUGAAUACAACGCGAGCACAGGAGGCACGAAGAAAGAAACCCAGCACUCACUUUCAUGCUGGGAUUCAUCGUCACACAGAGUUAUUGGUUUGCCUCACUUGACCAGUUCAUGAGUGGAUUCACUGGCUGCAGCUCUUCCACUGUCCUGCUCACAUUUCUGUGUCACAGGGGCAGAUCAAUAACAAAUUUCCUGCUCUGUGGUGUGAGUGACAGGCUGCACUGCUGACGACAUGACUGAAGAAACACUCUGCUGUCUCUGAUCCUGCUGCUCGACGAUCUGUGCUGAUAAAAGAUGCGGUUAUUGAUCUUACAGCCGUCACUCAAGGCCUCUUGAUCUCGAGGCAUGGAUCGGACAUGUUGAGAAACACUUGUUAUCCGUCGUUCCUGGAGUCAGAUGAGACAAAAGGUAUGAGUUUUAUCUGUGAAUUGUGACCAGUUCAAAGAC
Toxotes jaculatrix (banded archerfish) is the source of this 710-nucleotide long non-coding RNA. RefSeq lists it as uncharacterized. The transcript is spliced from 3 exons. Lineage: Eukaryota; Metazoa; Chordata; Actinopteri; Toxotidae. The record is from RefSeq and is a predicted model, not a curated record.